This 294-nucleotide ribosomal RNA is filed under the name uncultured bacterium. RNAcentral's name for it is "partial 16S ribosomal RNA". It matches the Rfam family "Bacterial small subunit ribosomal RNA", at positions 28 to 335 of the family's 1533-position model. The record is from RNAcentral.
GAUAAACGCUGGCGGCGUGCCUUACGCAUGCAAGUCGAACGGCUCUUUCGGGAGCAGUGGCGGACGGGUGAGUAACACGUGCGUGACCUGACCAUCGGUGGGGGAUACCCGUCCGAAAGGGCGGCUAAGACCGCAUGUGCUCAUGGGGGGUGCUUCAUGAGGAAAACCGGAAGGUGCCGAUGGAGGGGCGUGCGGUCGAUUAGCUAGUUGGCGGGGUAAAGGCCCACCAAGGCCGUGAUCGAUAGCUGGGCUGAGAGGCCGAACAGCCACACUGGGACUGAGACACGGCCCGAG